This 619-nucleotide ribosomal RNA is filed under the name uncultured bacterium. RNAcentral's name for it is "bacterial SSU rRNA". It matches the Rfam family "Bacterial small subunit ribosomal RNA", at positions 338 to 951 of the family's 1533-position model. The record is from RNAcentral.
CCUACGGGAGGCAGCAGUGGGGAAUUUUGGACAAUGGGCGCAAGCCUGAUCCAGCAAUGCCGCGUGAGUGAAGAAGGCCUUCGGGUUGUAAAGCUCUUUUGUCAGGGAAGAAACGGGUCUUUCUAAUACAGAGAUCUAAUGACGGUACCUGAAGAAUAAGCACCGGCUAACUACGUGCCAGCAGCCGCGGUAAUACGUAGGGUGCAAGCGUUAAUCGGAAUUACUGGGCGUAAAGCGUGCGCAGGCGGUUUUGUAAGUUUGUCGUGAAAUCCCCGGGCUCAACCUGGGAAUGGCGAUGAAGACUGCAAGGCUAGAGUUUGGCAGAGGGGGGGUAGAAUUCCACGUGUAGCAGUGAAAUGCGUAGAUAUGUGGAGGAACACCGAUGGCGAAGGCAGCCCCCUGGGUCAAACUGACGCUCAUGCACGAAAGCGUGGGGAGCAAACAGGAUUAGAUACCCUGGUAGUCCACGCCCUAAACGAUGUCUACUAGUUGUCGGGUCUUAAUUGACUUGGUAACGCAGCUAACGCGUGAAGUGACCGCCUGGGGAGUACGGUCGCAAGNUUAAAACCGUNAAUGAAUUGACGGNNGAGAGUGCGACGGACGACGACGAGGGAGGAGG